This 468-nucleotide ribosomal RNA is filed under the name uncultured bacterium. Its description in RNAcentral is "partial 16S ribosomal RNA". It matches the Rfam family "Bacterial small subunit ribosomal RNA", at positions 28 to 507 of the family's 1533-position model. The record is from RNAcentral.
GACGAACGCUGGCGGCGUGCUUAACACAUGCAAGUCGAACGGAAAGGCCCUGCUUUUGUGGGGUGCUCGAGUGGCGAACGGGUGAGUAACACGUGAGUAACCUGCCCUUGACUUUGGGAUAACUUCAGGAAACUGGGGCUAAUACCGGAUAGGAGCUCCUGCUGCAUGGUGGGGGUUGGAAAGUUUCGGCGGUUGGGGAUGGACUCGCGGCUUAUCAGCUUGUUGGUGGGGUAGUGGCUUACCAGGGCUUUGACGGGUAGCCGGCCUGAGAGGGUGACCGGCAACAUUGGGACUGAGAUACGGCCCAGACUCCUACGGGAGGCAGCAGUGGGGAAUAUUGCACAAUGGGCGGAAGCCUGAUGCAGCAACGCCGCGUGCGGGAUGACGGCCUUCGGGUUGUAAACCGCUUUCGCCUGUGACGAAGCGUGAGUGACGGUAAUGGGUAAAGAAGCACCGGCUAACUACGUG